RNAcentral lists this ribosomal RNA (450 nucleotides) under uncultured bacterium. RNAcentral's name for it is "bacterial SSU rRNA". It matches the Rfam family "Bacterial small subunit ribosomal RNA", at positions 29 to 524 of the family's 1533-position model. The record is from RNAcentral.
AACGAACGCUGGCGGCAGGCCUAACACAUGCAAGUCGAGCGCCCCAGCGAUGGGGAGCGGCGGACGGGUGAGUAACGCGUGGGAACGUGCCUCUUGCUACGGAAUAGCCUCGGGAAACUGGGAUUAAUACCGUAUGUGCCCUACGGGGGAAAGAUUUAUCGGCAAGAGAUCGGCCCGCGUUGGAUUAGGUAGUUGGUGGGGUAAUGGCCUACCAAGCCGACGAUCUAUAGCUGGUUUGAGAGGAUGAUCAGCCACACUGGGACUGAGACACGGUCCAGACUCCUACGGGAGGCAGCAGUGGGGAAUCUUAGACAAUGGGCGCAAGCCUGAUCUAGCCAUGCCGCGUGAGCGAUGAAGGCCUUAGGGUUGUAAAGCUCUUUCAGUGGGGAAGAUAAUGACUGUACCCACAGAAGAAGCCCCGGCUAACUCCGUGCCAGCAGCCGCGGUAAU